GUGUCCGGGCCAGCUUUCGUGCACCUUGACUAAAUCCACGGGAUACCUGUUAUCUCCCACCAGCAACAACAUUGGUGGAGAUAUAAUUGAGAUGGUGAAAUAGAAAAUUGAGGGAGAAAGGUAAGAAAAUGCAUUUAAGUUUUUACAAGUAAAAAAUAAUUUGAGAUGAUAAGCCUUAGGAUUGAUACACAGUGGUGGAAUGACGACAGUAGGAGGAGUAAUAAGAUGCUAAGAUCUGGAAAAUAGAGUUGGAAGUUCUGUAUUGUGAUAAUCUCUCAUCAAACUGAAGUAGACAAUGCAUUAAACAUGUCUGCUUUUUGGGGAUUUUGUAUAAUUUUAUCUUUAAGAGAUUGUGGUACAUGGUUUAAAAUGAGA
Molecule: unclassified non-coding RNA, 375 nt
Filed under: Hevea brasiliensis (rubber tree)
Lineage: Eukaryota; Viridiplantae; Streptophyta; Magnoliopsida; Malpighiales; Euphorbiaceae
Source: RNAcentral